GCCGGAGGCGACCGCCACGUGGAGAGUCGAUUAAAACCAGGCGACUCGGGACCCUUAGGGGCUCGGCAUACUGCUCAGUAACACGUGGAUAACCUGCCCUAUCGUCCUGGAAGAACCCUCGGGAAAACAUGAGAAUAAAGCCCAGGAAAGCUUCACAAGGCCUGGAAACGCGUUCGCUGAACUCAAGCGCUAGGAUAGAGGUCCGUGCGGCCGUAUGCAGUCUUGUCAGGGGGAUGUAUAAGCGACCACCCAUAGCGCUUCGACCGCGCUACCGGAGUGUUUGCGGACGACUAUAGGCCCCGGAAGAGUGGAUUUCCUGAGACGACGAACUCGCAGACUCUCUGAACGGCGGUGUCAGUCAAGUCGCGAACAACUGUCACCACUGCCAGGAAACAUGCGACGAGGGAACUCGCAAGUGCGUAUCACUAUAUCGGUAGCGUUUUCCUUGACUUAUUACAUCUGGUCAUUCGGAAUAAGCGGCUGGGAAAGACCAGGUGCCAGCCAGCCGCGGUAUUAGCCGGCAGAUCAAGUGGUCGUCGCUUUUAUUGGGCAUCAAACGUC
Molecule: ribosomal RNA, 561 nt
Filed under: uncultured euryarchaeote
Lineage: Archaea; Methanobacteriati; Methanobacteriota
Description: partial 16S ribosomal RNA
Source: RNAcentral